CGAGCUUGAAGAAAGGGAGCGGGAGGAGAGAGAUAAGCCCGGCGGGCCCCGCAUGUAAGUCACUCACGCGCUUACCUGGUGGCCCCGUUGACCACUUUAAGUGGAACCGUAUUAACAGAAACGCGUUUUCCAAUCGCGAAAGCGUAUUAUGGUUUUGCUUCGGCUGGAAGUACGUUUCCUCUGUUCUGAAGGCGUAAUCCUCGAAAUGCGUUUUCUCUUUUUCAGCUCAGCCGGCCGAAGUGGUUAUAUCUGAACGUUCACUGUUUAGCCCCUUUUCUGCCUAAAAAGUGAACGGCCACAACUUUUCACUCGUAACUCCGAUUGAGCAGCCUCCGCCCCCUUCUCAAAGCUCCGCCAUCCCCGUCCUGUACUCCCUUGGAAAAGAUCGAUUUUUUUCGACGGGAGGAGUCAUUCCGGCUUGAUCCGGUGGUGGCGAUGCCGGCCAGAUCCUGCGACGGCGCCGACGCGAGCCACCAAGGGCCGUGGACUCCCUCUCUGGCAUCGCUUCCGCCAAACCCUAGCGGCUCGGCGUCCCGGCGACCAUCUCCGAGGUGGUUUCUUUCUGCAGUAGCCAGCCCAUGGAGAAGGCCCGGACAAAUUCUCGGAGCAGUACGCCCGCCGCUCCAGCACCUUUCCUCACCGCCGUCGUCAUUCAAGGUUCUCUCUGUGGUUGAAAUUUGGCAAGAUGAAGUUGUUCCUAUGGUUUUUGUCAUGAAAAUUAAAAUGACACCUUUGGAGUGUUGUGCUGACAUGGAUGGUUUAGAUGCUCAAAUUCAAGAGAUCAAAGAAGCUGCUGAACUUCCUGAGCUAUAUGAGGACAUUGGAUUCAGGCCGCCGAAGGGAGUCAUACUGUAUGGGGAACAGGGACAGCUUUACUUGCAAAGGUGCACUGUCAUUGUAUAUAUUCUCUCAGCCUCUUUAUUCUUGAAUUCAGUAUAUUCAGCUCUGCAGGAAGGUCCGUCUUCACAUCAAAUGUCUGCCGAUUGGAGUGACGAUAACACUACGAUCUUGACCGAGCUCUUUGUCCAACAAGUGCGUGCUGGCAAUAGGCCAGACAAGCACUUGACUCAAAAUGCUUAUGAGGAAGUUGCGAAGGAUUUUAAAGUCAGAACAGGCCUGGAGUACACCAGGCUCCAACUAAAGAACAAGUGGGAUAAGUUGAAGACUGAUUACAGCAAUUUCAGAAAACUCAAAUUGAAGGAGAUUGGUGGUGGGUGGGACUAUGAGAGAAACACCAUCAAACAAGAUGAUGAAUGGUGGAAGAAAGCAAAGAUAGACAUCCCUGGCUGUGGCAAGUUCCAAAAGCGCGGACUUCGAAAUGAGAAUAACUUAUCUAUCAUGUUUGCUGACAUCACAAGUGAUGGUACAGAUCACUGGAAUCCUGCUUCAGGCACCAUUCCCCAAUCUAGCAGUGCAACUUCAGUUUUCAAUGUGGACGACAUACAAGAUGUUGAUCUGGAGGAGACCCAAACAGGUGAGUCACAUGCCGAUGGAAAAGGGAAGAGACUUGGAAGGUAUGUGGAUGGCAAUAACAAGAAGCCAAAGACAUCUCUUGUUAUACAAGAACAGAUAACCAGGGUUGGAGAUAUAGCAGAGAGGACCCAAUCCAGCUUUGAGUCAUACAUGAAGAAAGAAGAGAGUUCAUCGAUUACUUCUGUGAUGGAUCUGGUUGUUGAGUGUGGUGCAAUAGUAGGCAGUGAUGAAUAUUUCAUUGCUAGUGAACUAUUUGUGAAGCGAGAGCAGAGAGAGAUGUUCCUGCAUAUGACUGAAAGUGCUGCUCGUUUAGAUUGGUUGCGUAGGAAAUACAACAGCAAGUAUGGGCAUUAGAUGCUACUGCUGUUGUUUUUGCCUAUUGGGAUGUAAUACUAAUUUAAAGUUUGAACUUAGUUAUGUACUCAGGUUUACUUGUAAGACUAUUUGGGUUGUAACAUUAUUAUGUUAGUCCCAUUCUUCCCUUUUUCAGUUGUUUGUCUUCAUUUACCUUGUUUCAGCCGUGUGUCUUCAAUCUUGGUAAUAUUUCUUGUAAUCUUACUUAUAUUGCUGCUAUGACUCAUCUUGCUGAUGGUUACAUGAUAAAUGUUGUUACAUAUGACUUGUCUUUAAUGUUACAUAUGAUUCUUACUUAUCUUUCUGCUAUGACUAAUCUGGUUGAUAAUUAAGUACUAAUUGUUGUUACUUGUGUAUGUGCAG
RNAcentral lists this ribosomal RNA (2190 nucleotides) under Triticum aestivum (bread wheat). RNAcentral's name for it is "partial small subunit ribosomal RNA". The record is from RNAcentral. Lineage: Eukaryota; Viridiplantae; Streptophyta; Magnoliopsida; Poales; Poaceae.